This 300-nucleotide ribosomal RNA is filed under the name Triticum aestivum (bread wheat). RNAcentral's name for it is "partial small subunit ribosomal RNA". Lineage: Eukaryota; Viridiplantae; Streptophyta; Magnoliopsida; Poales; Poaceae. The record is from RNAcentral.
AAUCUUGUCUUGAAUUGGGAGAAGUGCCACUUUAUGGUUAAUGAAGGUAUUGUCUUGGGGCAUAAAAUUUCUGAAAGAGGUAUUGAAGUUGAUAAAGCUAAAGUAGAUGCUAUUGAAAAGAUGCCGUGUCCUAAAGAUAUCAAAGGUAUAAGAAGUUUCCUUGGUCAUGCUGGUUUCUAUAGGAGGUUUAUUAAAGACUUCUCUAAAAUUUCUAGGCCUCUCACUAAUCUCUUACAAAAAGAUAUUCCUUUUUUUGAUGAUGAUUGUGUAGAAGCAUUUGAAAUACUUAAUAAAGCCUAG